GAGGAAGCAUGCGUCAUACAUCAUUUGCUCCUGAUCCAGGAGAGCCCUCCGCCACCAAUGAAAGAAAAGGUGGGUGAGCCCUAGACGUGAUCCACGCACCUACUCAACAAGGCAGAACGGAUUUCAGUUUAGCAUUCUCUUUUUGAAAAUGCCACCUUGACUGCUGCAGGCUUUUCAUCUCCUUUCUUUGCUUUUGCUGCUUAGAGGCAAGUCUUGCUGCACGAGCUUGCAAGGAAGCCUUCUCAGGGGUGUCGACCUACGAUGUAAAACCAAGUG
This 276-nucleotide long non-coding RNA is filed under the name Dermacentor andersoni. Its description in RNAcentral is "uncharacterized LOC126523409". Lineage: Eukaryota; Metazoa; Arthropoda; Arachnida; Ixodida; Ixodidae. The record is from RNAcentral.